RNAcentral lists this long non-coding RNA (2741 nucleotides) under Homo sapiens (human). Its description in RNAcentral is "non-protein coding lnc-WRAP73-1:5". Lineage: Eukaryota; Metazoa; Chordata; Mammalia; Primates; Hominidae. The record is from RNAcentral.
GAGAAGGGGCGGGGCCGAAGCCGGUUGCCAGGGUGUCGCGGAGCGGCUGGGAAGGAGGGGCUGGGAAUCUUGGAGCCCCUUGGCCCGCGGGGAAAGCGGGUGACCCGCCCUGCAAGUGGGAUGCCCCCUUCGGCCUUCUGGAGCGCAGGUGGGGGCGCGCGCCCAUCGGGGGCUCGCACUGCACGGAGGGUCGCGGUGCCGGGGAGCUGAGGUUGGAGGAUGCAGGGCGGCGGCCCUGGUGCACCGUGGGGGAGUUCGCACGCCGGGCAGCGAUCUUCUGCCGGGACCUGGCGUUCUUCACACACGGCUUAUUCGUGACGGAUCCACAGAGCAAUGCACUCUGAAGCCGGAGGGUAGAAAGUGCUGGAAUGCGCGCCCGGGCCCAGGCUGUCGCGAGCCUUCAGCAAGCCAGUGCACACAGAGAGGGCUGCCCAGAGAUCCCGGUCAGCGCUCGCAGUUCGAGGUGGAACAUGUGUGUGCCCUGCGCUAGCCCCAGCUCCCGGAGGUGCCCCCAGCGCGUGUGGAGGGGGGCGGUGAACGGACCCGCAAUCUGGUGGAGGCUGCGGGAAGGAGGCGCAGAGUCCAGGGGUCAGGGUUACCUUCGGGCAGGAGGACAGAUCCCUCUGCUCGGAGGUGAGGAAGACACACGAGGCGAGGUGCACACAGGCGAGGAGAGUGAGAUGGGGGGAGAAUGAGGAGUUCAGGAUACAUCUGUUUACUUCAGUCAGGGAGUGGGGAUGGAGCGGAGUAUUUGUAAAGAUGGACGGUUUAGAAUCGCCGGGAUGAGAACCGGGCAGGGAGCUGAUCAGGGAAGGGCAUGGGGAUCUCUGAGCAGCUGGGAGACCCCAGGGAAGUUUGCAGUGGCGCCUCCCACGCGGCAGCUGGGGGAGUGGAAGAAACCAAUGCUGGCUGGUCUAGAUGGAGGAGUUUGCUGGGUAGCGGUGGUCAAAGACCAGAGAGAAAAGGGAGGCCAAAAUCCUAGAGGGAGUGUUGCCCAAGAAUGGUGGAGUGCAGGGAUUCUGCCCCACUUGCCAGCAGACAGGCCAGGCUGCCAAAGUUGCAUGGGCGCUGGCAGAAAGACCCAAUACCCCUGGAGUCAGAGAGGAAAGACUACAACAGGAAACGGGCGACGCUGGUGUGCCCAGACGCAUGUUGCACCACAGCGGGUGCACUACAAAACAGGACCCUGGAUCCUGUGGACCAAUGUGGUCUUUGUCCCACAGGGAGGCUGUCUCCCCGGCAAGGGUGCCCACUGCAAGCACAGGCGUGAGAAAUGGCCCAGAAAAGAGUGGUCAGGGCAAUGUGUUCUUGGCACGCCCAGCAAGACCUGCCAGAGGGACCUACAGACGAGUGUCUCCCAGCUAUCUUACCAGCGGGGACCUUGAGGUCCAAGUAUCCAGUCCGGUUAGAAAUGGCCGCGGAUCCAACAGGUGCUGGUGAGUGGGAGAAUACCCCUGAGGGAGGAAGAACAGAGGCCGGGAGGGAGCUGAGUGGAUGUAGAUGAGAAAUACCUGGACAGCUGCAAGCUGUAGUCAGUGAUGGGCAACUGGAACCAGAGAUUCCAGAGAGAGGGAGGGAGAAAGAGGGAGGAGAAGGGAGAAUGAGAAAGAGAGGGAGAGAGAAUGGGGGGGAGAAAGAGGGAGAAUGGGGGAGAGAGGUAGGAGCAAGUUCUGGACCACGCCAAGGAUGGAGCUGUGGUCCUGGAACCAGAUGUCCAGGGAAUGGGAUGAAGUGACACUGGCUGGGGCCGAGGCUGCAGACUGCUGGUGGGAGCUGGCAGGACAAUGAGGAUUCUGAACCAGGUGCCUGAGCCUUCUGUGGAUAUGGGGAGUGACUUGGAUGUCUAUAAAUUCCAGAAAUGAUAGGAGGGAUAGAUGAUGGAGGGACUGUAUUUUAGACAAUAAACAAAUUUCACUCAGUAUGGAUGAGUUUCCUGGGGCUUCUGUCACAAUGCAUCACAAACUGGUUUUAAAAACAACAACUGUUUUAAAAACAACAGAAACGUGUUUCCUCAUAGCCCUGGAGGCCAGAAGUGCAAAAUCAAGGAGUGUGCAGGGCCAUGCUCCCUCUGCAGCCCUGAGGGUUGACGCAUGUCUUGCUCUGCCAGGCCUGCUUGGUGUCCUGGGCUUGCUCAUGCACUGCUCCCAUCCCUGCCUCCAUCUUCACACGACCUUCUCCAGGUGGGUCUCUUCUGCAACAUCCCUGUUGGAUUAGGGACCACCCUAGUGACCUCAUCUUUAGUCGAUCAUCAUCAUGUUUGAUCAAAUAAGGUCACUGUGUUUGUUUGUUUUCCCACUGCUAUUAAUAUGAAGAACUUACCUGAAGCUGGGUAAUUUAUAAAGAAAAGAGGUUUCAUUGACUCACAGUUACACAUGACUGGGGAGACCUUAGGAAACUUACAAUCAUGGCGGAAGGCAAAGGGGAAGCAAGGCACGUCUUACAUGGCGGCGGGGGUAGUGGGAUGUGCCACACUUAAACCAUCAGAUCUUGUGAGAACUAUGACAAGAACAGCACGGGGGAAAUCGCCCCCAUGCUCCAAUCACCUCCCACCAGGUCCCUCCCUCGACAUGUGGGGAUUACAAUUCGAGAUGAGAUUUGGGUGGGGACACAGCUAAACCAUAUCAUUCUACCCCGGCCCCUCCUAAAUCUCAUGUCCUUUUUACAUUUCAAAACCAAUCAUGCCCUCCCAACAGUCCCCCAAAGUCUUAUUUCAGCAUUAACUCAAAAGUCCACAGUCCAAA